This 1011-nucleotide ribosomal RNA is filed under the name Enterococcus faecium. Its description in RNAcentral is "bacterial SSU rRNA". It matches the Rfam family "Bacterial small subunit ribosomal RNA", at positions 60 to 1041 of the family's 1533-position model. Lineage: Bacteria; Bacillati; Bacillota; Bacilli; Lactobacillales; Enterococcaceae. The record is from RNAcentral.
AGUCGAACGCUUCUUUUUCCACCGGAGCUUGCUCCACCGGAAAAAGAGGAGUGGCGAACGGGUGAGUAACACGUGGGUAACCUGCCCAUCAUAAGGGGAUAACACUUGGAAACAGGUGCUAAUACCGUAUAACAAUCAAAACCGCAGGUUUUGAUUUGAAAGGCGCUUUCGGGUGUCGCUGAUGGAUGGACCCGCGGUGCAUUAGCUAGUUGGUGAGGUAACGGCUCACCAAGGCCACGAUGCAGAGCCGACCUGAGAGGGUGAUCGGCCACAUUGGGACUGAGACACGGCCCAAACUCCUACGGGAGGCAGCAGUAGGGAAUCUUCGGCAAUGGACGAAAGUCUGACCGAGCAACGCCGCGUGAGUGAAGAAGGUUUUCGGAUCGUAAAACUCUGUUGUUAGAGAAGAACAAGGAUGAGAGUAACUGUUCAUCCCUUGACGGUAUCUAACCAGAAAGCCACGGCUAACUACGUGCCAGCAGCCGCGGUAAUACGUAGGUGGCAAGCGUUGUCCGGAUUUAUUGGGCGUAAAGCGAGCGCAGGCGGUUUCUUAAGUCUGAUGUGAAAGCCCCCGGCUCAACCGGGGAGGGUCAUUGGAAACUGGGAGACUUGAGUGCAGAAGAGGAGAGUGGAAUUCCAUGUGUAGCGGUGAAAUGCGUAGAUAUAUGGAGGAACACCAGUGGCGAAGGCGGCUCUCUGGUCUGUAACUGACGCUGAGGCUCGAAAGCGUGGGGAGCAAACAGGAUUAGAUACCCUGGUAGUCCACGCCGUAAACGAUGAGUGCUAAGUGUUGGAGGGUUUCCGCCCUUCAGUGCUGCAGCUAACGCAGUAAGCACUCCGCCUGGGGAGUACGACCGCAAGGUUGAAACUCAAAGGAAUUGACGGGGGCCCGCACAAGCGGUGGAGCAUGUGGCUUAAUUCGAAGCAACGCGAAGAACCUUACCAGGUCUUGACAUCCUUUGACCACUCUAGAGAUAGAGCUUCCCCUUCGGGGGGCAAAUUGACAGGUGG